RNAcentral lists this unclassified non-coding RNA (953 nucleotides) under Hevea brasiliensis (rubber tree). The record is from RNAcentral. Lineage: Eukaryota; Viridiplantae; Streptophyta; Magnoliopsida; Malpighiales; Euphorbiaceae.
AAAUUUUCGGGACCAGAACCAAGUAAUGCCUUUGGACAAAAUGGCUUGCAUUGCGAAGUGGAAUGUAUUCAUCAGUAAAGGAGCAGGGAAUCUCCCUAGAUGAUCCCCUAGAAGAGUUUUAUUAUACAAUGUCAAGAAUGUACUGAAUAUGUACCAUACAAGGACUAAGAACAGUGUCUUCAGCACAUCAGCUACGGAAACAACAUUCUUUGACUUUGUUUGUGAUGCACCGUGGUGGUCCAGAUGAGUAGAUCCUUCCCCGUGCACAUUUGAAUAUGUUUGAUUACUUCUAGAACCGUUCUCCACAUCAAACGGAACAUAUCUAUCUUUUCCAUUCGUAGUAGAUGCAACAGCCAAAUCACCACCACCCUUCAUCCUCGACUUAAAGUUGUAAUUUUGUGUAUCUACGUCUACAGAUCCAUUUCCUAUACCGGUUUGAUUCACGAGAGGCAGUUCAAAGUCAAAGUCGCCACUGAGUGUAUCAGCAUUCCCUAGCUCAGCUGAAUGGAUGGUGUCAUUAUCAUCACACCAGCCUGAGAAAGAAGGCGCCCUACGAAAGUUGUCACUUGCACUCUGUUCAACCUUCUCUAUAGUCAAUUCACUCUCUAACAUCUCCUUUUUCCUCCACAAUCAAAACCAUCUUUCUCCCAUUGACAACCAAGCUUAUACGCCUAGUCGUCUAUAUAGCACUAUAUUUCCAAUUAUCUUGACCAGACUAAUUGUAGUGAACCCUUUAGAACUUCAAAUUGACACUAUUAGUUCUUAUAAACACACCUACUAAGCAAUUGAAACCAGCACUGAGCUCUCGAAUCCAAUUAACUAGAGACCAAUAUAAGUUCAACAAUCUGAGCUUGUUUGAGUUGAUAGAUUCAAAUGGUGUAGAAGAGAACAAAGCAUAGAAGAUCUGAUCUACCAAUUCCUUCGAGUUUAAAGAAGAAAAAAGGUUAUUGUCG